UCCCUGGCAGCUUGCUGUCGGGGUGAGAGUGGCGAACGGGUGAGUAAUGCGUGACCAACCUGCCCUGUGCACCGGAAUAGCUCCUGGAAACGGGUGGUAAUACCGGAUGCUCCGCUCCAUCGCAUGGUGGGGUGGGAAAUGCUUUUGCGGCAUGGGAUGGGGUCGCGUCCUAUCAGCUUGUUGGCGGGGUGAUGGCCCACCAAGGCGUUGACGGGUAGCCGGCCUGAGAGGGUGACCGGCCACAUUGGGACUGAGAUACGGCCCAGACUCC
Molecule: ribosomal RNA, 271 nt
Filed under: uncultured Bifidobacterium sp.
Lineage: Bacteria; Bacillati; Actinomycetota; Actinomycetes; Bifidobacteriales; Bifidobacteriaceae
Description: partial 16S ribosomal RNA
Rfam family: Bacterial small subunit ribosomal RNA
Source: RNAcentral